Molecule: ribosomal RNA, 738 nt
Filed under: Triticum aestivum (bread wheat)
Lineage: Eukaryota; Viridiplantae; Streptophyta; Magnoliopsida; Poales; Poaceae
Description: partial small subunit ribosomal RNA
Source: RNAcentral
AUGGAGAAGGGAGGCGAGGCGGGCGGCGGCAGGCCGGAGUACAGCAUCAUCGUGCCCACCUACAACGAGCGCCUCAACGUCGCCCUCAUCGUCUACCUCAUCUUCAAGCACCUCCCGGAGGCCAAGUUCGAAAUCAUUAUUGUGGAUGAUGGAAGCCCCGAUGGAACACAAGACAUUGUAAAGCAGUUGCAGCAAGUAUAUGGUGAAGAUCGUGUUCUUCUGCGAGCUAGACCAAGGAAGCUAGGACUUGGUACUGCAUAUAUGCAUGGAUUAAAGCAUGCCUCAGGGGAGUUCGUUGUUAUAAUGGAUGCAGAUCUAUCUCAUCAUCCAAAGUAUUUGCCAAGCUUCAUCAGGAAGCAAAAGGAAACCGGUGCUGACAUUGUAACUGGCACGCGUUAUGUUAGCAAUGGUGGUGUCCAUGGUUGGAAUCUUAUGCGUAAGCUGACCAGCAGGGGAGCAAAUGUUCUGGCACAGACGUUACUACGCCCCGGAGCUUCUGAUCUGACUGGGUCGUUUAGGCUAUAUAAGCUAAGUGUUUUGGAGGAUGUCAUCUCCUCCUGCGUCAGCAAGGGCUAUGUAUUCCAAAUGGAGAUGAUUGUCAGGGCUACUAGGAAAGGUUAUCACAUCGAAGAGGUCCCAAUCACUUUCGUCGACAGGGUCUUUGGAAUCUCAAAGCUCGGGGGAUCCGAAAUUGUUGGAUAUUUGAAAGGCCUUGUGUAUCUGUUGCUCACAACUUAG